ACAUAGCGAGAUUCCUGAAGUGUUCUGAGAGGACCACGAUCAAGCGGGAUCAACCACUGUCCAGAUCUCUCGGAGGCGAGCAGUGUGAAUAUUGCACAAUGCGUCAAAGCUCUACGAGCCCUGUCCGGGUGUGAUGAAAGUCUCUUGAGUCUUAAAGAUCUCAGAUAGGAAGGAAGCAGUAAGCUAAUCACUUUUAUUUUGACGUUACCGAGAAGAAGAGCACCGGUCUAAUUUCGUCCCAGCAGCUAGGGUAAUACGGAGGGGGCAAGCGUUAAUUGGAAUUCCUGGGGGUAAGGCGCGGCAGGGGGUUUUUAAGUCAGAUGUAAAACCCCGGGCUCAACCUGGGAAUGGCUCUAAAACUGGCAAGCUAGAGUCUGGUAGGGGGGGGGUAGAACUCCUGGGGUGGCGGUGAAAUGCGUAAAAUUCUGGAGAAAUACCGGUGGCGAAGGCGGCCCCCUUGGACGAUGACUGACGCUCAGUGGGGAAAGCUGGGGGACCAAACCAGGAUAAAAUACCCUGGUAGUCCCCCCCCGUAAAGAAGUUCACCUUGGAGGUGGAUCCUUUGAGGCGUGGCUUCCGGAGCUAACGCAUUAAGUCGCCCCCCUGGGAAGUACGCCCGCAAGGUUAAAACUCAAAUGAAUUGACGGGGCCCCGCACAAGCGGUGGAGCAUGUGGUUUAAUCCGAUGCAAGCCGAAGACCCUUACCUACUCUUGACAUCCAGAGAAUUUUCCAGAGAUGCUUUGGUCCCUUCGGGAAUCCUGAGACAGGUGCUGCAUGGCGGUCGUCAGUUCGUUUUGUGAAAUGUUGGGUUAAUUCCCGCAACGAGCGCACCCCUUUUCCUUUUUUGCCAGCGGUUCGGCCGGGAACUCAAAGGAGACUGCCAGUGAUAAACCGGAGGAAGGUGGGGAUGACGUCAAGUCAUCAUGGCCCUUACGACUAGGGCUACACACGUGCUACAAUGGCGUAUACAAAGAGAAGCCACCUCGCGAGAGCAAGCGGACCUCAUAAAGUACGUCGUAGUCCGGAUUGGAGUCUGCAACUCGACUCCAUGAAGUCGGAAUCGCUAGUAAUCCGUAGAUCAGAAUGUCUACGGUGAAUACGUUCCCGGGCCUUGUACACACCGCCCGUCAACACCCAAUUGGGAAGGUGGGUUGCAACACAAGAAGUAGUUAGUCUUAACCUCCGGAGAGCUGCCUACUCCACGAGGUUGAUCCAACACCCGGC
Molecule: ribosomal RNA, 1225 nt
Filed under: Serratia nematodiphila
Lineage: Bacteria; Pseudomonadati; Pseudomonadota; Gammaproteobacteria; Enterobacterales; Yersiniaceae
Description: bacterial SSU rRNA
Rfam family: Bacterial small subunit ribosomal RNA
Source: RNAcentral